Molecule: long non-coding RNA, 469 nt
Filed under: Medicago truncatula (barrel medic)
Lineage: Eukaryota; Viridiplantae; Streptophyta; Magnoliopsida; Fabales; Fabaceae
Description: long non-coding RNA (MTRU_LNC004749)
Source: RNAcentral
AGAAAAGUAGAGCAUACACCCACACACGCACACAUGCACCUAAACUAUUACAAAAAAAACCUAUUUACAUUCUAAGGUCUGCAAAAAAAAAUAAAUGACAAGAAAAAGUAAAUAAAUUAUUUACAUCAAGGCCUAAUUUACAUUCUAACAUGCAUGAGAGAACAUAAAUUAAUAAUUACAAUGCUAAACGAUAAAUAAAAUGUAUGCAAGACUUGAAAGAAAUAAAUAAAAGGUUCAAUCACAAGGUGGGAGGUGUAGCAGUAUUAUGGGGUGUGCAGAAAGUAAAAAAACAGGUUUGGGCCUAGAUAGAAACGGAGCGGGUCAUGGGUUAAGCCUGGCGGGUCGACCCGGAUUUGAGAGGUAUAUAAAGGGUGUAAACCCUAAUUUCCUCAUUUUUCUUUUCCUUUUCUCUCUCUUCUUCCCUAAAUCUCUCAAACUCUCUCUACUCUUUCUUCCUUCUCCGACGGAA